GAGCGCACCCGACAUAGCAAGGUCUGGCGACACAACGUAUAAAUCCUACCUCAUCAACAGAUCAAACAUCAACCUCAUCACGUCUUCUUCCAUCAAUCAUCGUAGAUGAAGAAGCGCCACGGAACUCAUCUGAUCAGAGAUACAUGAAGGCCGAUCUUCGAUUCUCUACGGAUUAGCACAAAUGAUCAGAAAAGCUCAGAGAGAUGAAGGCCGAUCUUCAAUUUCCCACAGAUCCGCGGAAAUGAUCAAGAAAGUUCACAUCGACGACUGAGAAUCUCUACAGUACCACCGGAUUCAUUGAUUCAACUGAAAGCCUCACUCAAUUGAACCACUGCAGAUCUAAAAUCAGAGCAGCACAAAAAGUAAAAGGAAAUAACAAAUCUUAAAGUCAGUUAGGAAAUUGCAAAUCUCAACGACAACGAGGAUGAGCGGCCAGGUCCGGC
This 443-nucleotide unclassified non-coding RNA is filed under the name Hevea brasiliensis (rubber tree). Lineage: Eukaryota; Viridiplantae; Streptophyta; Magnoliopsida; Malpighiales; Euphorbiaceae. The record is from RNAcentral.